AUGUGUGUGUAUGGCCCGUACCCUAAACCGACACAGGUAGUCAGGUUGAAAAUACUAAGGCGUUCGGGUGAACUGUGGUUAAGGAAUUCGGCAAAAUGCCCCCGUAACUUCGGGAGAAGGGGGGCCUCACGACGUGAAGGCCCAAGCGGCUGGAAGCGUUGUGGGGUCGCAGAGAAUAGAGGGAAGCGACUGUUUAUCAAAAACACAGGUCCAUGCGAAGACGUUAAGUUGAUGUAUAUGGACUGACGCCUGCCCGGUGCUGGAAGGUUAAGAGGACCGGUUAGUAGUCUUUGACUGCGAAGCUGAGAAUUUAAGCCCCAGUAAACGGCGGUGG
This 334-nucleotide ribosomal RNA is filed under the name Helicobacter pylori. RNAcentral's name for it is "bacterial LSU rRNA". It matches the Rfam family "Bacterial large subunit ribosomal RNA", at positions 1627 to 1936 of the family's 2925-position model. The record is from RNAcentral. Lineage: Bacteria; Pseudomonadati; Campylobacterota; Epsilonproteobacteria; Campylobacterales; Helicobacteraceae.